CUCUGCAGAUAAACCUCUGAACUUGGACUGCACUAGUCAAGGACAGCAACUGUCAUGUUUUCCAGAUCCCCUACUCAUCCUUGUUGUUCUUCUCUGGACUCUCCAAUUUGUCCUGAAAUGUGGCGCCCAGGACUGGACACACUACACCAGUUGAGGUCUAAUUAGCGCAAUGCAGACUGGAAGAAUUACUUCUCGUCUUUUCUUUCAACACUCCUGCCAAUACAUCCCAGAAUAGGCACUAUAUGUGCUCUUUUCCAGUCUUCUUGAAUGCCUCCUGUCUUCCAUGAUUUUUCAAAGAUAAUAGCUAAUGGCGCGGCUACCGCCUCAGUAAGUUCCUUGAGUAGUCUAGGAUGCAUUUCGUGAGCCCCUGGUGACUUGAAGACAUCUAACUUGACCAGUAAAUCAGUGAACAAAAGAAGAUAAGAAUGACCAAAAGUUCACCUAGCCCAGUAGUCUGUGUUCUGACAGUGGCCAGUGCCAGUUGCCUCAGAGGGAAUGAACAGAACAGUUGAUAAAAGGGACCUGCAAUGGAAGAAAAUGGAAUGAAAUCCCUGUGGUACCCACUUAAACCCAAAGAGGAUCUAAAGGGGUCCUGUGGCAAAGGCAAGGUUUGGAUUUCAUUUACUUUGUGUUGCACCAGGGUUCUACCCCGUUUUGAUUGGCUGAGGCCCAAGAAAAAGACACGAUUGGCCAUUAGCUAUUAUAGUCCUGGGAGAGCUAAGGCUGGAUUUGGAGCUCUAAAGGUAAAUACUGACCAGGAACUAAAGGGACCAGUAGAGACACACUCUGCAAAAGCUUCAGACGACGUGGCGGUACUGAAGGUGUUACAGGUGGAGAACCAGAAAGUCUCCCUGGCAAUAUUUACCAAUUUGGACUGAGUGUUCAGAGCUCACACCUACUAAAGGAGCCCAUUGCUCACCAAAAGAUUGAUGGUCUGUGACGCUCUGUACCUCGGGGGAAACCCCAGAACUCCCAUAUUCAGCCUUGUUCUUUUGGUAGUUCUACCACUGAUCAACCUAGCUGGCCACGAGAUUAGUCUGGACUCUGGACUGG
This is a long non-coding RNA of Chelonia mydas (Green sea turtle), 1053 nucleotides long. RefSeq lists it as uncharacterized. The transcript is spliced from 5 exons. Lineage: Eukaryota; Metazoa; Chordata; Testudines; Cheloniidae. The record is from RefSeq and is a predicted model, not a curated record.